Mustela erminea (ermine) is the source of this 613-nucleotide long non-coding RNA. RefSeq lists it as uncharacterized. NCBI's taxonomy places the organism in Eukaryota, Metazoa, Chordata, Mammalia, Carnivora, Mustelidae. The record is from RefSeq and is a predicted model, not a curated record. The transcript has 4 exons.
AUUCGUCAGGAGGAGGCCCCCUGGCUUCCGGGAAGCGAAACUGCGGAUAAGGGCAACCCGCGGCGUUUUCCUCUAGACGCCGCCGCCUGCGGUAAGGCAGAGGCAGCCCUCGAGGGUACUCCUGGGCCUAUGCAGAUGAUGGUAUCCUGAUACUUUAAUUAGGAAAAGAAAAAGAAUCCUGCAGCUUUCUUUGCUGCCUUGGAGCACCUGAUGCAUGGCUGGCGUUUUAGACCUGUUAAUGAUGUCAAAAGAAAUUCAGAAAGUUUCCUGGAUGGGAGUACUCUAUGGCGGAGGAAAACAAGUGUUCACGAACAGAAAACUUCAAAUCCAAACCUGCUUGUAAUUGAAUCCCCCCACUGCUUAAUUGGAACUAGAAUGGCUCCACAACCAGAUUUGAAACAUCUUCUGAAGCUGGUAGGAACAUCAGCUCUCCCUUUUAAAAAUAAAAAUUAUAUCAUUAACUGUGUUAAGUGAAGAUUGGUGUUCUGUGGAAUAUCAGGAAAUGAGCGCACCCCAGGAUUGUCUGAAUAUAGGGCAAUUAGCGAUGUCUUCGGUCUUACACAUGGCCUCCCUCCCCACCAAAGCCUAAAGGCUAAAGCUGGAUUAGUCUGUA